CAAUAGCGUAUAUUAAAGUUGUUGCAGUUAAAAAGCUCGUAGUUGGAUUUGUGGCGUACGGUGUGUUCCGGGCACUUGUUGUCUGAGUAACCUGCUGUUGUCAUCCUUGGGUGGAACCUGUGUGGCAUUAGGUUGUCGUGCAGGGGAUGCCCAUCAUUUACUGUGAAAAAAUUAGAGUGUUCAAAGCAGGCUUAUGCCGUUGAAUAUAUUAGCAUGGAAUAAUGAGAUAGGACUUUUUUGCUAUUUUGUUGGUUUGCGCAAAGAGGUAAUGAUUAAUAGGGACAGUUGGGGGUAUUCGUAUUCCAUUGUCAGAGGUGAAAUUCUUGGAUUUUUGGAAGACGAACUACUGCGAAAGCAUUUGCCAAGGAUGUUUUCAUUAA
Molecule: ribosomal RNA, 380 nt
Filed under: uncultured eukaryote
Lineage: Eukaryota
Description: partial 18S ribosomal RNA
Rfam family: Eukaryotic small subunit ribosomal RNA
Source: RNAcentral